Molecule: long non-coding RNA, 2234 nt
Organism: Equus caballus (horse)
Lineage: Eukaryota; Metazoa; Chordata; Mammalia; Perissodactyla; Equidae
Source: Ensembl
CUUUCAUGGAAAAGGAAAAUAAAAAGUGAUGAAUUAAUGAAUAAAAUAAACUUUAUACUCAAGUGAGUUUGUAAGCAUGCAGUUGGUCCUGCAGUGUUCAGAGAGAGCCAUAAAGACACGGGUAUUGCACUUGGACAACUGAGAGAGAAGCUGCCUGUGCUGUGACACCACUCAUAGAACCAUGCUGGAAUUUGAGACCACCAUCCUGAUUUUGAGUAUGACUUUGCUAUUGAUUUUUCAAAAUGUCUUCUGUCUCAUCUUGGCCCCCGAAGCAGCCAGUUUAGAAGCUUUGGUAGGUAUCUUUUUCUGUGUCUAUGAUAUUUUUUCAACUGUCUCUCUUUCCCUCCCUGCCGCUCUCCACCCCUCCCCCCAUGCCUCUUUUCCCUUCCCUCUCCUCUCAUGUAUUUAACUGUGCAACGUGUUUCAUACUUGGUUAUGAUGGCUUGACAUGGAUGUAUGGUAUUUCAAUUGCAUUGAAUGGAUAUAGAAAAGGUCAACCAUUCCCCCGAUGGAAUAUUAAUUUAUUUCACAUGUUCUUCCGCUACAGUUUUACAAGGUAUGUGCAUAGUGUUGUUUCUGUUAGAAUUCUAAAAUCUGGUUUGAUGCGUCAAAGGUAAUGCACAUGUUUAAUGUUAAUUCAUGCUGCCAGAUAUUUUUUUAAAAGUUUGUUACAAUUUACAUUCCCACUGUGCAUGACUGAAUUGCUUUCCAACACCAUCGCUGGUACUGGAAGCUAUCAUCUGUCUGUGUCUGUAUGCAAAUCUUUUGAGCAAUUCUGAUCUGCCUCCUAAAAGUAGGAUGCCAACUCCAUGCAUGUCUUUACAAGCAAAUUUAAAUCAGAAAGCCUGGAAGUUUGGGCCUUAAGAUUUGAUGCAUCUCACUUGCCAUAAUCCUCAACAUUUCAGGAUACAGUUACUAAAUUCAUAGGGCUGUUUUAAUUAGCUAUACCUAAUAGGAAGGAAUAAAUCUGAUUAAGCCUUAAUUACCCAUCUCAUUUUAACAGAAAAAAGUAGAUCCCAUUUAGUUUUUUAAAAAAUAACUUUAGAUUUAUUAAUUAUGUAUCUCCUUGGUUUACUGCUUAUAAUUAAUAGACUAGUUUUUCUCUGAUAUGUGCUAUCAAGAUAUUAAGCCAAUUGAGUUAAAAACAGAACCUUUCAGAUUUUUGACUUACAGAACCCCAUGAAAUCUAUAGAUUUUUAUUCUUUAUAAUGUUACACUGAAAAUGUAUUGUUAUCAGUCAAGUUACCAUUGUGAGUACUUGGAACCUAAUCUCACUGUGGAAAUCCAGGAGACGGAAUAAAACCUGUGCUUAAGAGUUAUCCUGCUGAGGGGCCACCCCGUAGCCAAGUGUUUAAGUUCACACGCUCUGCUACGGUGGCCCAGGGUUCAGAUCCCGGGUGCGGACAUGGCACAGCUCAUUCGGCCAUGUUGAGGUGGCAUCCCAUAUGCUACAAAUAAAAGGACCCACAACUAAAAUAUACAACUAUGUACUGGGGGGAUUUAGGCAGAUAAAAGCAGGAAAAAAAAAAAAAAAGAAGACUGGCAACAGUUGUUAGCUCAGGUGCCAAUCUUUAAAAAAAAAAAAUUAUCCUGCUAAAAGGGCAAGUGAUCUGGCAUAUGCAUAUCCUGUCUUCCUUCAGUUUUUGGUGAGGUCUGUGCCUGAAGAAUGGGUGUCAAUUCCACAGUAUUUUCAGUCUAUUGGAUGUGUAGCAAAGUGUCCUCAGAGAAAGCAGUCAGGACAGCAGUAGAAAGUUGGAUAGGUGUGCAACGAAGAUGUAGCAAGGUUGAUUAGACCUGGUCACUGAGAAUUAGUGAAUAUAUUAUAUGCUGUGUUUAGAAACAAGUAUGAAAAAGAGUGAGAUAUAUGAUCCACAAAAUCAGAAGCCUGUUAGCUCAGUAAUGUUUCUCUGCUUCCAAUGGACUGGGGUAUGUUGAGACAUCCCCUACAACAUUAAGGACAUGCUGCUAUUGGCAUUUGCCAUCACCAAGAAAGACUUUUCAUGCUUAGGAGGGUCUUUGCAUUUUACAUGUAGCUUGUAUAUUAUUUGGGCAUGAUAUUGGACCCCAAUAACCAAAUAAUCUGUGAGUCUGCUAGAUUUUUAGUGGGACUUGGAGAAAACAAGUCUAUUUUAACAAUUUCAAGCCUCACCAAGGCAGAUCUGGCCACUGCUUAGUCCUAACCUGUUAAUAUCAGAGAAUAUCACUGAAUUCCCAGAUUCUAAUAUUCUUCAGAG